Long non-coding RNA from Cucurbita moschata (crookneck pumpkin), 978 nucleotides. RefSeq lists it as uncharacterized. The record is from RefSeq and is a predicted model, not a curated record. The transcript has 2 exons. Lineage: Eukaryota; Viridiplantae; Streptophyta; Magnoliopsida; Cucurbitales; Cucurbitaceae.
UUUGAACUAUCCUGAAAAUACAUCAGCCAAACCACUGAUUUAUUAAUCUCACAAAUGAAAUCUCAAGGGCGUUUAGGGCGCUGAGUUGGGUUAGAAUACAUGCAAAGAAUUAAACAUUAGAAUUCAGUGUUCUAAGAUCAACCUCAAUGGACUUAGCAGAUUCUACAGAAAUCCCAAGAAAGAAACUAAGAUAAUUGAGAGGAAAAAGGGGAUAACCUCUAAAGUCUGUAAUCGCAGGGCCUUGUGUGAAAGCAGGAGGCCAUCUUUUUCAUCCCAAGACGGGAAAGAGAGAAUUGACAAGGACAUAACACACCAUCUCUUUUAAGUGGUACACUUGCACAGUUUAACAUCACAGUCCAUUGCCCCACAUGUCUAUAAACCUUCGAGCUUCCAUGGAAUUGUCCAAAUGCGUCCAUAUAAAAGGCACUCAAAUCAUGUGCAAUUUGCACUCAUUGUGGAAGAAAAAGAGGCAUCAACAAUAUAAGGUUACCUUAUAAAACAAGAGAGUUUGGGAUGGCUGUGAAUUGCAGAUUUCUGGUGUUUGUGGCUCUGUUUCUGCUUUGUUUUGCCUCAACCACUGUUACAGGGAGAAGCAUGAGUUGUAUUUAUGGAGGAAGGAGAUGAAAGGCCUGAAGAUCUAUUAGUGCAUACAAACAAGGACAAGAAGAUGGAAGGCAGUGAUCAGUUGGUGGUAAUGGAUUACACUCCUGCUUUAAAGAGGCCUCCAAUCCACAACUGAGAUUAGUUACACCAAAUCAAGCUUGUUGCUGAUUAUCAUACUGUCACUGACAUGCUUCUAAUCCAUCACAAAUGAAGCAUAGAACUCGAUUUUAGUUGAACCAUUACAAUGAAAAUCCAGAUAAAAAUUUGAUCAGAUAUGCUUCCAAUGUUUUCUGACUAGUAAUUAUAUUCAUUCCUAAUUGUACAUAUUAUUUUCAUUCGAACAACACAGUGGAAAUAUCUAAUCUAAUUCUGAUC